RNAcentral lists this ribosomal RNA (460 nucleotides) under uncultured bacterium. RNAcentral describes it as "partial 16S ribosomal RNA". It matches the Rfam family "Bacterial small subunit ribosomal RNA", at positions 338 to 795 of the family's 1533-position model. The record is from RNAcentral.
CCUACGGGAGGCAGCAGUGAGGAAUAUUGGUCAAUGGGCGCGAGCCUGAACCAGCCAAGUAGCGUGAAGGAUGACUGCCCUACGGGUUGUACACUUCUUUUAUAAAGGAAUAAAGUGAGGCACGUGUGCCUUUUUGUAUGUCCUUUAUGAAUAAGGAUCGGCUAACUCCGUGCCAGCAGCCGCGGUAAUACGGCGGAUCCGAGCGUUAUCCGGAUUUAUUGGGUUUAAAGGGAGGGUAGGUGGGUUGUAAAUUCAGUUGUGAAAGUUUGCGGCUCAACCGUAAAAUUGCAAUUGAUACUGGCAGUCUUGAGUACAGUUGAGGUAGGCGGAAUUCGUGGUGUAGCGGUGAAAUGCUUAGAUAUCACGAAGAACUCCGAUUGCGAAGGCAGAUUACUAAACUGCCACUGACAUUGAUGCUCGAAAGUGUGGGUAUCAAACAGGAUUAGAUACCCUUGUAGUC